GGUUGUGGCUCAGUGGUAGAGCACUUGCCUAGCAUAUGUGAGGCCCUGGGUUUGACUCUCAACACCA
RNAcentral lists this transfer RNA (67 nucleotides) under Marmota monax (woodchuck). Its description in RNAcentral is "tRNA.Ala". The record is from RNAcentral. Lineage: Eukaryota; Metazoa; Chordata; Mammalia; Rodentia; Sciuridae.